CGGGGUUUCGUACGUAGCAGAGCAG
This 25-nucleotide non-coding RNA is filed under the name Gallus gallus (chicken). The record is from RNAcentral. RNAcentral also lists the same sequence under 7 other names. Lineage: Eukaryota; Metazoa; Chordata; Aves; Galliformes; Phasianidae.